UUAAGUUCAGCGGGUAUUCCUACCUGAUCCGAGGUCAAACUCAGAGAGUCGGGGGUUUCACGGCGUGGCCGCGCCGGGAUCCGGUGCGAGGUGUAGUACUACGCAAGGGACGCCGCAGCGUGACCGCCACUGGAUUUAGGGGGCGGCGGGCCGACCCCGGAGGGUACGGCCGGUGCCGGUCCCCAACGCCGCGGCCCCCG
RNAcentral lists this unclassified non-coding RNA (200 nucleotides) under fungal sp. RNAcentral describes it as "partial internal transcribed spacer 2". Lineage: Eukaryota; Fungi. The record is from RNAcentral.